This 2896-nucleotide ribosomal RNA is filed under the name human gut metagenome. RNAcentral describes it as "bacterial LSU rRNA". It matches the Rfam family "Bacterial large subunit ribosomal RNA". The record is from RNAcentral.
UCAAGUUAUUAAGGGUGCAGGGCGGAUGCCUUGGCACUAGGAGCCGAUGAAGGACGUGAUAAGCUGCGAUAAGCUUCGGGGAGUUGCACGUAAACUUUGAUCCGAAGAUUUCCGAAUGAGGAAACUCACUUAGAGUAAUGUCUAAGUAUCAUUAAGUGAAUACAUAGCUUAAUGAGGGGAACUCAGGGAACUGAAACAUCUAAGUACCUGAAGGAAGAGAAAGAAAUUCGAUUCCGUAAGUAGCGGCGAGCGAACGCGGAUUAGCCCAAACCAAUAAAGUUUUCUUUAUUGGGGUUGCGGACAUAUCAUAACGAAGAGGUAUCGUAAUUGAAGAGGUUUGGAAAGACCCACCACAGAAGGUAAUAGUCCUGUAUGUUAAACGAGAAGACUUUAGAUAUGAUCCAGAGUACCACGGGACACGUGAAACCCUGUGGGAAGCAGGAGGGACCACCCUCCAAGGCUAAAUACUACCUAGUGACCGAUAGCGUAUAGUACCGUGAGGGAAAGGUGAAAAGAACCCCGGGAGGGGAGUGAAAUAGAACCUGAAACCCUGCACUUACAAGCUGUGGAAGCACAUUUCUUGUGUGACCGCGUACUUUUUGUAGAACGGGCCAACGAGUUACGUUAAGUAGCAAGGUUAAGCACUUAAGGUGCGGAGCCGUAGCGAAAGCGAGUUUUAACUGAGCGUUCAGUUACUUGACGUAGACCCGAAACCGGGCGACCUACCCAUGAGCAGGAUGAAGCGAAAGUAAAAUUUCGUGGAGGUCCGAACCCACGAGCGUUGAAAAGCUCGGGGAUGACUUGUGGGUAGCGGUGAAAUUCCAAUCGAGCCCGGAGAUAGCUGGUUCUCCCCGAAAUAGCUUUAGGGCUAGCCUCAAGGUGAGAGAUACGGAGGUAGAGCACUGAAUGUCCUAGGGGGUAUUGCACCUACCGAAGACUAUCAAACUCCGAAUGCCGUCAUCUUAUACUUGGGAGUCAGACUGUGGGUGAUAAGAUUCAUAGUCGAAAGGGCAACAGCCCAGAUCGUCAGCUAAGGUCCCUAAAUGUAAGUUAAGUGGUAAAGGAUGUGGGAUUGCACAGACAACCAGGAUGUUGGCUUAGAAGCAGCCACUCAUUCAAAGAGUGCGUAAUAGCUCACUGGUCGAGUGAUCCUGCGCCGAAGAUUUCCGGGGCUAAAACUUACUACCGAAGCUACGGCAUCAGUAAUGAUGGGUAGGGGAGCUUCCCAUACGGGUUGAAGCAUGACCGUAAGGACAUGUGGACAGUAUGGGAGUGAGAAUGUUGGCAUGAGUAGCGAGAUGUGGGUGAGAAUCCCACAGGCCGUAAACCCAAGGUUUCCAGGGGAAGGUUCGUCCGCCCUGGGUUAGUCGGGACCUAAGCUGAGGCCGAAAGGCGUAGGUGAUGGACAACAGGUUGAUAUUCCUGUACUACCGAUAACCGUUUGAGAGAAGGGAUGACACAGUAGGAUAAGCUAAGCACACUGUUGGUUAUGUGUGCCCAAGCAUUGAGGCAGUCAAAGUAGGCAAAUCCGCUUUGAUAAUGCUGGGAUGUGAUGGGGAGCGAAAUUUAGUAGCGAAGUAGCUGAUUUCACACUGUCAAGAAAAGUCUCUAUCGAGGUUAAAGGUACCCGUACCGCAAACCGACACAGGUGGGUGAGGAGAGUAUCCUAAGGCCAGCGAGAGAACUGUUGUUAAGGAACUCGGCAAAAUGACCCCGUAACUUAGGGAUAAGGGGUGCCACCAUCAGGUGGCCGCAGAGAAUAGGCCCAAGCGACUGUUUACCAAAAACAUAGGUUUCUGCUAAGUCGCAAGACGAUGUAUAGGAGCUGACGCCUGCCCGGUGCUGGAAGGUUAAGGGGAUCUGUUAGAGCAAUCGAAGCAGUGAACUUAAGCCCCAGUAAACGGCGGCCGUAACUAUAACGGUCCUAAGGUAGCGAAAUUCCUUGUCGGGUAAGUUCCGACCCGCACGAAAGGCGUAACGAUUUGGGCACUGUCUCAACAACAGACUCGGUGAAAUUGUAAUUCCGGUGAAGAUGCCGGAUACCUGCGACAGGACGGAAAGACCCCAUGGAGCUUUACUGUAGCUUGACAUUGGGUCUUGGUACUACAUGUACAGGAUAGGUGGGAGGCUUUGAAACCAGGACGCCAGUUUUGGCGGAGCCAUCCUUGGGAUACCACCCUUGUAGUACUGGGACUCUAACCAUAGGCCAUGAAUCUGGUCUUGGGACACUGUCAGGUGGGCAGUUUGACUGGGGCGGUCGCCUCCCAAAAGGUAACGGAGGCGCUCAAAGGUUCUCUCAGUACGGUCGGAAAUCGUACGUAGAGUGUAAAGGCAAAAGAGAGCUUGAUUGCAAGACAUACAGGUCGAGCAAGGACGAAAGUCGGACUUAGUGAUCCGGUGGUUCCGCAUGGAAGGGCCAUCGCUCAACGGAUAAAAGCUACCCUGGGGAUAACAGGCUGAUCUCCCCCAAGAGUCCACAUCGACGGGGAGGUUUGGCACCUCGAUGUCGGCUCAUCACAUCCUGGGGCUGUAGUAGGUCCCAAGGGUUGGGCUGUUCGCCCAUUAAAGUGGUACGCGAGCUGGGUUCAGAACGUCGUGAGACAGUUCGGUCCCUAUCCGUCGCAGGCGUAGGAAAUUUGAGAAGACCUGUCCUUAGUACGAGAGGACCGGGAUGGACGUACCUCUGGUGUACCAGUUGUCCUGCCAAGGGCAUGGCUGGGUAGCUAUGUACGGAAUGGAUAAGCGCUGAAAGCAUCUAAGCGCGAAGCCAACUUCAAGAUAAGAUUUCCCACCGCAAGGGUAAGACCCCAGAAAGACUAUCUGGUUGAUAGGUCGAAGGUGUAAGUGCAGCAAUGUAUUUAGCUUAUCGAUACUAAUAGGUCGAGGACUUGACCAA